AGUCUGGUGCCAGCAGCCGCGGUAAUUCCAGCUCCAAUAGUGUAUAUUAAAGUUGCUGCAGUUAAAAGCUCGUAGUUGGAUUUCGGAUUAAUGGGAGUUAAGGUCCAUCAAUUUGAUGUGUACCUUAUUCUCGUUUCCUUCCUUCUGAAUACACUCCCUGAAAUUUUUUUUGGGGAUCAAAGUGUUUCAAAUCUUUUACUGUGAAGAAAUUAGAGUGUUCAAAGCAGGCGUAAUCUAGCCUUUGAAUAUAUUAGCAUGGGAUAAUGAAAUAGGACUUUAGUUCUACUUUCGUUGGUUUCUAGGGCUAAAGUAAUGAUUAAUAGGGAUAGUUGGGGUCACUAGUAUUUAAUUGUCAGAGGUGAAAUUCUAAGAUUUAUUAAAGACUAACUACUGCGAAAGCAUUUGACAAGGAUGUUUUCAUUAAUCAAGAACGAAAGUUGGGGGAUCGAAGAUGAUCAGAUACCGUCGUAGUCUCAACCAUAAACUAUGCCGACCAAGGAUCCGGGGGUGUUAAAUAUGGAUGACUCUCCGGGCACUUAUAGAGAAAUCAUAAGUAUUUGGGCUCCGGGGGGAGUAUGGUCGCAAGGCUGAAACUUAAAGGAAUUGACGGAAGGGCACCACAAGGAGUGGAACCUGCGGUUUAAUUUGACCCAACACGGGGAAACUUACCAGGUCCAGACACAGUGAGGAUUGACAGAUUGAGAGUUCUUUCUUGAUUCUGUGAGUGGUGGUGCAUGGCCGUUUCUAGUUGGUGGAGUGAUUUGUCUGGUUAAUUCCGUUAACGAACGAGACCUUAACCUAUUAAAUAGUUGCUUGAACACAUGAAUAUUUUAUUCUUUGUUCGGUUAACUUCUUAGAGGGACUCUUCACUGAGAGAGUGAAUGGAAGUUUGAGGCAAAAACAGGUCUGUGAUGCCCUUAGAUGUUCUGGGCCACACGCGCGUUACACUGACAUAUUCAACGAGCAUUUUCCUGGCCCGAUGGAGUUGGGUAAUCUUUUAAAUGUAUGUCGUGCUGGGGAUAGAUCAUUGUAAUUAUUGGUCUUGAACGAGGAAUUCCUAGUAAGUGCAAGUCAUCAACUUGCGCUGAUUACGUCCCUGCCCUUUGUACACACCGCCCGUCGCUCCUACCGAUUGAAUGGUCCGGCGAGAACUCAAGAUGGAAAUAGGUUUUGGACACCGUCA
RNAcentral lists this ribosomal RNA (1183 nucleotides) under metagenome. RNAcentral's name for it is "SSU rRNA". It matches the Rfam family "Eukaryotic small subunit ribosomal RNA", at positions 558 to 1736 of the family's 1831-position model. The record is from RNAcentral.